This 1197-nucleotide long non-coding RNA is filed under the name Gossypium barbadense (sea-island cotton). Its description in RNAcentral is "long non-coding RNA (GBAR_LNC015750)". The record is from RNAcentral. Lineage: Eukaryota; Viridiplantae; Streptophyta; Magnoliopsida; Malvales; Malvaceae.
CGUGGUUUAAAAAAAUAAAACCCUAAGUUAUUAAACAUUUUCCUAACCUAAAAGAAAAAUUAAAGAAAAGAGAGAAAAAACUCUCUCAGCGCCGUUCUGCGUUCUGGAAGCGUCCGAACGUCUCCGAUCUCAGCCCCUACUCCGAUGCCGACGGAGAGAGCCAGGAUCGGCCUCAAGGUAACUCCCCCUCCCCGAUCUCAUUUAUUUUAUAUAUAUAUGUGCUUAUAUAUGUAUUAAUAACAAAACAAAGAACAAAAGAAAGAAGAACGAUCGAAAAAAAAAACAGAAUCGCAAAGAGAGAAAAAAAGAAAACCUUUGUUGUAUUGAUAUAUUUUUUUUACAAUCUGUGUAUUCUCUGUAUCUGAGAGUGUUUUUUUUUUUACAAUAUGCGUGGGUCUUUUUUAUAGCCAGAAGAAAUAAAAAAACUGAAAAAAAUCCCCUAUUUUUACUGCUAUUUUCUUUUCUGGUAUUUCUGCUUUUUCCUUGCUCUCUCUGCUUUUGCGUUCGUUUGCUUGUCCUUUGCAGGUACGGGUACGGAGGCUCCCGUGGCACAGUGCAUGUGGGGAGAGAGGCGCACGUGAGGGGAGCGGCUCGAAGGCGCGGUUCGUGCGAGGGCAGAGCCUGCGGCGCCUAGAUCUUCUGGAAACCCUAGAAGUUUUCUGUUUCUGAUUUGGGUUUUCUGGUGUUGGGCCAUUUGGGCCGAUUUGGUUUUGGGUUAGUGUCUGGGCUAGGUUAAUUGGGUUUGGGGGUUAUUUUAUUUGUAAUGGACUAUGGAUUUUUGUUUACUUUGGGCUCCGGGCAAAAUUUGGGCCCUACAUAAUCUUUAGUAUCUAUCUUCAUACAGCCAUAAACCAAGGUUUCUGUUGUGACAAUUUGCACAGGCUUUGCCUGGAAGCAGCCAUAUUUUCAAGUAAAACUUAUUCAAACAAAACAAACAAAAGGAUGUUGAUCUUUCAUUCAUAGAAUAGAAGACACUGUAAACAUAUCACAUGUAACAUGUCAUAUAUGUAAAAGAUAUCAACAAUAAUGAUAACUAGAAGCUGGUUUUAUUACAUGCAGUUGGUGAAUUGUGAAGCAGCUGUAAUGGACAAAGCACAAGUUCUGGCCUCUUUCAAGGUUCUAUCCCAAGUUUGCAAUUUCACUAGCAUAGCAUCCUGGAUGUAUUCUGUUUGCCAUCUUAUCAUGGGUUGAGCUGAC